GGGUUGUGAGGUUAAGCGACUAAGCGUACACGGUGGAUGCCCUGGCAGUCAGAGGCGAUGAAGGACGUGCUAAUCUGCGAAAAGCGUCGGUAAGGUGAUAUGAACCGUUAUAGCCGGCGAUGUCCGAAUGGGGAAACCCAGUGCAAUUCGUUGCACUAUCGUUAACUGAAUACAUAGGUUAACGAGGCGAACCGGGGGAACUGAAACAUCUAAGUACCCCGAGGAAAAGAAAUCAACCGAGAUUCCCCCAGUAGCGGCGAGCGAACGGGGAGCAGCCCAGAGUCUGAAUCAGCUUGUGUGUUAGUGGAACGGUCUGGAAAGUCCGACGGUACAGGGUGAUAGUCCCGUACACCAAAAUGCACAGGUUGUGAACUCGAAGAGUAGGGCGGGACACGUGGUAUCCUGUCUGAAUAUGGGGGGACCAUCCUCCAAGGCUAAAUACUCCUGACUGACCGAUAGUGAACCAGUACCGUGAGGGAAAGGCGAAAAGAACCCCGGCGAGGGGAGUGAAAAAGAACCUGAAACCGUGUACGUACAAGCAGUGGGAGCACCUUCGGGUGUGACUGCGUACCUUUUGUAUAAUGGGUCAGCGACUUAUAUUCUGUAGCAAGGUUAACCGUAUAGGGGAGCCGCAGGGAAACCGAGUCUUAACUGGGCGUUAAGUUGCAGGGUAUAGACCCGAAACCCGGUGAUCUAGCCAUGGGCAGGUUGAAGGUUGGGUAACACUAACUGGAGGACCGAACCGACUAAUGUUGAAAAAUUAGCGGAUGACUUGUGGCUGGGGGUGAAAGGCCAAUCAAACCGGGAGAUAGCUGGUUCUCCCCGAAAGCUAUUUAGGUAGCGCCUCGUGAAUUCAUCUUCGGGGGUAGAGCACUGUUUCGGCUAGGGGGUCAUCCCGACUUACCAACCCGAUGCAAACUACGAAUACCGAAGAAUGUUAUCACGGGAGACACACGGCGGGUGCUAACGUCCGUCGUGAAGAGGGAAACAACCCAGACCGCCAGCUAAGGUCCCAAAGUCAUGGUUAAGUGGGAAACGAUGUGGGAAGGCACAGACAGCCAGGAUGUUGGCUUAGAAGCAGCCAUCAUUUAAAGAAAGCGUAAUAGCUCACUGGUCGAGUCGGCCUGCGCGGAAGAUGUAACGGGGCUAAACCAUGCACCGAAGCUGCGGCAGCGACACUAUGUGUUGUUGGGUAGGGGAGCGUUCUGUAAGCCUGCGAAGGUGGCCUGUGAGGGUUGCUGGAGGUAUCAGAAGUGCGAAUGCUGACAUAAGUAACGAUAAAGCGGGUGAAAAGCCCGCUCGCCGGAAGACCAAGGGUUCCUGUCCAACGUUAAUCGGGGCAGGGUGAGUCGACCCCUAAGGCGAGGCCGAAAGGCGUAGUCGAUGGGAAACAGGUUAAUAUUCCUGUACUUGGUGUUACUGCGAAGGGGGGACGGAGAAGGCUAUGUUAGCCGGGCGACGGUUGUCCCGGUUUAAGCAUGUAGGCUGAUUGUCCAGGCAAAUCCGGAUAAUCAAGGCUGAGGUGUGAUGACGAGGCACUACGGUGCUGAAGUAACAAAUGCCCUGCUUCCAGGAAAAGCCUCUAAGCAUCAGGUAACAUUAAAUCGUACCCCAAACCGACACAGGUGGUCAGGUAGAGAAUACCAAGGCGCUUGAGAGAACUCGGGUGAAGGAACUAGGCAAAAUGGUGCCGUAACUUCGGGAGAAGGCACGCUGGUGUGUAGGUGAAGUCCCUGCGGAUGGAGCUGAGACCAGUCGAAGAUACCAGCUGGCUGCAACUGUUUAUUAAAAACACAGCACUGUGCAAACACGAAAGUGGACGUAUACGGUGUGACGCCUGCCCGGUGCCGGAAGGUUAAUUGAUGGGGUUAUCCGUAAGGAGAAGCUCUUGAUCGAAGCCCCGGUAAACGGCGGCCGUAACUAUAACGGUCCUAAGGUAGCGAAAUUCCUUGUCGGGUAAGUUCCGACCUGCACGAAUGGCGUAAUGAUGGCCAGGCUGUCUCCACCCGAGACUCAGUGAAAUUGAACUCGCUGUGAAGAUGCAGUGUACCCGCGGCAAGACGGAAAGACCCCGUGAACCUUUACUAUAGCUUGACACUGAACAUUGAGCCUUGAUGUGUAGGAUAGGUGGGAGGCUUUGAAGCGUGGACGCCAGUCUGCGUGGAGCCAACCUUGAAAUACCACCCUUUAAUGUUUGAUGUUCUAACGUUGGCCCCUGACCGGGGUUGCGGACAGUGUCUGGUGGGUAGUUUGACUGGGGCGGUCUCCUCCCAAAGCGUAACGGAGGAGCACGAAGGUUAGCUAAUCCUGGUCGGACAUCAGGAGGUUAGUGCAAUGGCAUAAGCUAGCUUGACUGCGAGCGUGACGGCGCGAGCAGGUGCGAAAGCAGGUCAUAGUGAUCCGGUGGUUCUGAAUGGAAGGGCCAUCGCUCAACGGAUAAAAGGUACUCCGGGGAUAACAGGCUGAUACCGCCCAAGAGUUCAUAUCGACGGCGGUGUUUGGCACCUCGAUGUCGGCUCAUCACAUCCUGGGGCUGAAGUAGGUCCCAAGGGUAUGGCUGUUCGCCAUUUAAAGUGGUACGCGAGCUGGGUUUAGAACGUCGUGAGACAGUUCGGUCCCUAUCUGCCGUGGGCGCUGGAGAAUUGAGGGGGGCUGCUCCUAGUACGAGAGGACCGGAGUGGACGCAUCACUGGUGUUCGGGUUGUCAUGCCAAUGGCACUGCCCGGUAGCUAAAUGCGGAAGAGAUAAGUGCUGAAAGCAUCUAAGCACGAAACUUGCCCCGAGAUGAGUUCUCCCUGAGACUUUAAGUCUCCUGAAGGAACGUUGAAGACGACGACGUUGAUAGGCCGGGUGUGUAAGCGCAGCGAUGCGUUGAGCUAACCGGUACUAAUGAACCGUGAGGCUUAACCUUACAACGCCGAAG
RNAcentral lists this ribosomal RNA (2923 nucleotides) under Klebsiella pneumoniae. RNAcentral describes it as "23S ribosomal RNA". It matches the Rfam family "Bacterial large subunit ribosomal RNA". The record is from RNAcentral. Lineage: Bacteria; Pseudomonadati; Pseudomonadota; Gammaproteobacteria; Enterobacterales; Enterobacteriaceae.